Ictalurus punctatus (channel catfish) is the source of this 1329-nucleotide long non-coding RNA. The record is from Ensembl. NCBI's taxonomy places the organism in Eukaryota, Metazoa, Chordata, Actinopteri, Siluriformes, Ictaluridae.
UGGGUGGGAACUCUCAAUGGUUCUUUGGUUUGUCCUUCUGGAGGAGUCCUGAAAGUUUCAAUGUAGAACCCUACACUAGAAGUUUUCCCUGUCCAAGUAGAGCACCCUUAUGGUAGCUAAGAACUAUUAACUGCACUAAGAAAAGCUUGAGAACCCAUUUUUGAUCUAAGAGCGUAGAUACGGUCAAGCUAGUUUACACAAUUGGUAGGACUUCAGGACCUGGAUAGAACUGUCCAGACACUCUGAGUAAAAAAGGGGAUUGGUCCAUUUGAAUACAAAUAAAUAAACAAUUUUAUAAAUCACUACAGGCCACAUUGAAGAUCAAGAUAUACCACUGAGUGGAGGCAUCAGAGAAGCUAAGCAAAAGCUUUCUGGUCUUUUGCCAUGUCGCCAUGUCUGUUUUAGUAGCGUGAGACGUGAGACUCCGAAAGUAGGACAGUAAAUUUGAUACUAUAGGGUGUGUCUAUAAAGUUAGUAAGUGCUGCAGUGGGGUGUGGUUGGGUUUGGUUAUAGAUUUGCUGUUAAUGGAGAAAAACUAAGAUACUUAAGAUAACUAAGAUUGAACGUAAUUACGAAUGGCUGAUGUUAUGCUGCAUAUUAAGGCUUUAAUGUAGUAUGUCCAAACUGUAAUGUAAGAUGUCCACACUGUAAUAGAAGAUGUCCACACUGUAAUGUAAUUUGUCUAAACUGUAAUGUAAGAUGUCCACAAUGCAAUAUAAGAUGUCUACACUUUAAUGUAAGUCCAAACUGUAAUGUAUGAUAUCUACACUAUAAUAUAAGAUGCCCAAACUGUAAUAUAAGAUGUCCACACUAUAAUAUAAGAUGUCCACAGUGCAAUAUAAGAUGUCCAAACUGUAAUGUGUUAUGUCCAAACUGUAAUGUAAGAUGUCCAAACUGUAAUGUGUUAUGUCCAAACUGUAAUGUAAGAUGUCCACAAUGCAAUAUAAGAUGUCCAAACUUUAAUAUAAGAUGUCCACACUAUAAUGUAUUAUAUCCACACUUUAAUAUAAAAUGUCCACACUGUAAUGUAUGAUAUCCACACUUUAAUAUAAGAUGUCCACAUUGUAAUGUAUGAUGUCCACACUGUAAUGUAAGAUGUCCACACUUUAAUAUAAGAUGUCCACACUGUAAUGUAUUAUAUCCACACUUUAAUAUAAGAUGUCCACACUGUAAUGUAUGAUAUCCACACUUUAAUAUAAGAUGUCCACACUGUAAUGUAUUAUAUCUAUACUUUGAUAUAAGAUGUCCAAACUGUAAUAUAAGAUGUCCGCAUUGAUGUAUUAUGUUGACACUGUAAAAUAUGAUGUUGUACAAACAACAUAAUACAAU